AGCCAGAGAAAUUUGAAUUGCGCUUGGCGCAGCCUGUGGCCGGACUGUGUGGCACCAAGUGACUCUGAUGCACCAGAGUCAACAGUGGUGCAGGACAUUGUUGCCUUGGGGAGGACCAUGGGCCUGGAGGUCACAGAGGAGGACGUCUGCGAGCUGGUGGAGGAGCACGACCACGAGCUGACCACCCAGGAGCUGGUCGAACUGCAGGCAGAGGCUGCGCAGGAGCAGGCCUCGCUGGAAGAGGAGGAAGCAACUGAGGAACGGCUGUCCUCCAAAGAACUGAGGGACAUUUGCAUGAAGUGGAAGGAUGUGCAGGCUUUUGCACAGCGGCACCACCCUAACAAGCACGUGGCACAUGACCUUGCGAACACUUUUGAUACGACGGUCAUGUUGCCUUUCAGGGAGGUGCUGUAAAGGCGGAUGAAGCAGCAGACCAUGGACAGGUUCUUCAGCAAGAAGCAAAGAGUGGAAGAGGAACCUUCUUCGAGUGGUCCCCCGAGUCUUAGAAAAUGUACUGUACACUUUGUUGAUUUUUAAAUGUUUUUCUGUCAUGUUUAGAAACUUAAUUUAUUGUUCCUUCAAUUUUUGAAAUGCUCUUUACAGUAUGUGUGACUUUAAAGAGCACUUAAUAAACUCUUGUUGUACC
Molecule: non-coding RNA, 646 nt
Organism: Podarcis lilfordi (Lilford's wall lizard)
Lineage: Eukaryota; Metazoa; Chordata; Lepidosauria; Squamata; Lacertidae
Source: the annotation of a GenBank genome assembly